This 1228-nucleotide long non-coding RNA is filed under the name Helianthus annuus (common sunflower). RNAcentral describes it as "hypothetical non coding rna". The record is from RNAcentral. Lineage: Eukaryota; Viridiplantae; Streptophyta; Magnoliopsida; Asterales; Asteraceae.
GGUUUCAGCGGACGAGACAAUGGGCAGGAUGUUGGCUGAGCAGCUUCCGAGCAGAGCACCGAGGAGAUUUUGGUCCUGACGGAACCAUAGGCGAUAGUUAGGGUUGGGUUUGUUAUCGAUAAUUUUUGGUGGUGGGGUUGUACGGCCAUCAACGAACUGUUCAAGUUCUAGGCCAGUGAGGGUUGCCAGAACUUGUUUCCGCCAACUAGUGAAGUUAUCGGAGGUUAGUUGAAUGGGGAAGUGAGUGUGGGUGGAGAGAUUGAUGAUUGUGGUGGCUGCCAUGGCUGAUCAAAAAACAGAGGAUUUGGAUCGGAGUAACUCGGAGGAGCUUUGUUAGAGCUCUGAUACCAUAUAACAGGUAUUCAAGCCUUGAUUAUUGCAUUGCCUUAUACAUAUACGUACAUAUCCAUUGUUCUUUACGCAUGCGUCCGGCUUGCACUUGGUUAAGAUUAUAUCUUAUUAUGUAACAUUUUAUUGUAUUUGUUUCCCAUUUAUAUGGCUUACUUAACAAGUAUUGAAACCACAAAAAAUACAUACAUCUACAUGUUUAUUAUAAAUGUAUAGAAGAUCAGUUAAAUGUGAUUGAAACUUUUAAGAUAAAAACUGAAAAUAAGAUCAUGAUGAUUAUUUUUAAUUUGUGAAGAAAGUUAAAAGUUGUGGUGAUUGCAAAUAAACGCUUCGUGCAGGAACUCAAGAAUUUGCAGAAGAACCCUAAUCUUUCUGUUGUGCACUAAAUGAUGGGAGGAUUACUUUGUUAAGGUUUGGGACUUGGGAGGAUUAGUUUGUUAACGUUUAUUAGAACUUGAUGAUUCUCAUAGAAAAUUAUUUAUUUAAAGAGAUGGAGGAUCCUUACACAGAGGCUGGAAUCAUCCUCUACUACAAGCUUACCGACGGAUUUUCUGAUCAAUUAGCAAAAUUAGUUUAGCCGGUGGUCUAAAUGUCAACUACCAAUCAAGGCACUGGCGAACAUACGUUUCUGGAUCCACUUUGUGGCGAAGGCUACCCGUUAGAUGGGACAAGAUUGUGAUAGUGGUGAUGGAUGAGGUUCGUUUUAGCACAGUCCAUAUCUAGCUGAAUCUGUUACUAGAGGAACUCCUGCUGUGAAUGAGCGGGUCAGGAAAGUCGUUCUAAGUGAAUUCACUCGAGGGUUACAAGAUGAGAUGGAAUCAAGCUACUAAUACUUGACAACGAAGACAGACCUACAAAUAAAACAAUGAAUGUUGUAUAU